RNAcentral lists this transfer RNA (83 nucleotides) under Danionella translucida. It matches the Rfam family "tRNA". Rfam says of the family: Transfer RNA (tRNA) molecules are approximately 80 nucleotides in length. Their secondary structure includes four short double-helical elements and three loops (D, anti-codon, and T loops). The record is from Rfam by way of RNAcentral. Lineage: Eukaryota; Metazoa; Chordata; Actinopteri; Cypriniformes; Danionidae. RNAcentral also lists the same sequence under 1 other name.
GUUGUCGUGGCCGAGUGGUAAAUGGCAAUGGACUCGAAAUCCUUUGGGGUUUCCCCGCGCAGGUUCAAAUCCUGCCGGUAACG